Molecule: non-coding RNA, 47 nt
Organism: Schistosoma curassoni
Lineage: Eukaryota; Metazoa; Platyhelminthes; Trematoda; Strigeidida; Schistosomatidae
Source: Rfam
AUCCAGCUGAUGAGUCCCAAAUAGGAGGGGAAACGCGCGUCCUGGAU